This 713-nucleotide long non-coding RNA is filed under the name Rattus norvegicus (Norway rat). RNAcentral describes it as "long non-coding RNA NONRATT018965". Lineage: Eukaryota; Metazoa; Chordata; Mammalia; Rodentia; Muridae. The record is from RNAcentral.
CCGACUCUAAAGUCCACACUCAAGACACUGAACUUUGCUGCUGGCUCGCCAGCCCCUUGUGCCGCAGUAGUAAGACACCCGCGCUUGCAUUUCCCGGCCGCAGGCGCCUUUGUGGCAUGUAGGCAUCAAAAGCAAUAUCGUCCCCAAUCAGGCACUCUGGACCUGAGCACAGCUCCUGGGGCAGCCCUCCCGAAGGCUUUUGUUCCUAGCGGUCGGGGCCCCCUGACACUACCCAGCACCUGUCCCCGCCAGCAGGGGGGACAGCAGCUACUCCCCAAGAAAACACAGCAGGGCACAGCCAGGAUCCCGCACCGUGACAGCUCCCCUCGCACGCCUGGCAGCCAGAAAAUCGGCCGCAGCAGCUAAGUCCAAGCCGUCAUCCCAUGAGCCACCCGAGGCUGGUGCAGGUCCGGAGAGCCACGCAGGACACCCGGACUCACCAGCUGCAGAGCGCAGAGCGCAAGAAGUGUGCAAGCUUGCAGAUCCCGCCCCAACGGGAUCUUGUCUCGGAUACCCCUGGUCCUUGCAGCCCUUAGGGGCUUCAAGCGGUCCGGAGAGGAGGCGCGAGACCCCUUCUUAAAGCGGCGAUGACAGGGCUUUCCGGCAGCAUAGAGCAGCUCAGGGCUGAACAGUGGCCACAAGACAGACUUGAUCUGUCAACGAGUCUGUCCCAGAAUGCUCAUAAAAGAAUAAUCAGCAACUGUGUCUACCCC